AUGGACACGGGCCAUGCUGGACCUCAUCCCGUGUUGAGAGAUCCCACACGCAGGCGUGGAAGUGCACCGGAGUCCUUCAGCUCCUCAAUUUCAUCCAUCACUAUCACUUCCAGGAAGGUCACACAGAUUUCCAAGCCUUUGUGUACAACGAUGAAUGACCUCGCCGAUGGACGAAGAAAAGCCUUAGUGGUCAAAGUCACCGAACAGAGAACGACAAGCACCACCAGCCGGCCCAUCAUCUCUGCCUCUGGCUAUAAUCAUGAAGAGAUUGACCACGGCGUGGUACUCAGGAGAAAGGCAACCAUUGUGAAAAUGACCGAACAGAGAGAGUGUUUCAGUCCAUCACAAUACAGACACAGCUACACUGAAGGACUCAAUGAAGCCCAGUUAAGGAAUGAAUCUGAAGUCAAUCCCUCACCAUUAAACCAAACACUCACUAUAUCUUUAGAGCCAGGAGGAAACCAGUGGAGGUCCCAGCACAGAUCUAGCCUGUCUCUUUACCUUAACAACCUAAAUACUAGCAGCACAGCAAGGGAGAGCAACACCAAAAAAUACAAGCCACCUCGAAGGCCUCUCAGCUGCGACCCAAGCUUGUUUAACUGCACAGAACUUGGCACUAAUGCAGUUAAACAUCCAGCAUUUUACAACAAAAGCUCUCCUGUUCCCCAGAAGACAAAUAUUGACCUUGUUAGUUCCAGCAGCAGUGAAGCAAGAAGGUGCUCAGCCUCCAGUGGCGAGGACGGGAGCGCAGGGAAAGAGGGAUUGGAGUUGGAUCGAAGGCUUGAGGAGCGAGAGGGACCUAUUUCAGGAAUCAAACCUCUCACGCUACUCAAAGCAGCAGAUAACUCAGCUGAUCUGAGCGCAGACGCCGUCCUGGCCCUGAACGCCGCUGCGGUUAUUGCCAACAUAAAGCUGCAGGCCCAGCAGAGACGAACUACAUCCCACAGAGCAACAGCAGAGGUUAGAGGGCAAAAUGAACACGGGGAGCUCAAAGAAGAGGCUGCUGGUGCUAAUGGAAAGGACAAAACAUGUCCAGUAGAACAAUGUGUGGAUUUUGUCCCAUUUGAGUCCGAAAAUGACCUUUGUGAAACUGCUUUGGCUCCACUGUCCCUUAGCGAGGCUUUAGCGAUCAGACGGCCUGAUUUCAUCCGGCACUCGCAGGCCAGAGUUCAAGCCCUGGAGAGGAGGUUGCAGGAGAGUCUGAGCUCCCACAGCUCACCGCAGACACCUGAGAGCGGAGAAUGCCUUGUGAAAUCCAAAGACAGACGCAUCAUGGGAAAGAGUCUACAGCUGUGGUCCAGGAGGAGUUAUAACCAGCUCCCUGAAGUGAAGAAGAGGAGAGAGGAAGAAAAGAGGAAAAAAGAAGAAGAGAAAAGAAAACUGGCAUCUCGGACCAACAGGCUGCGGGCAGAGCUCUUUAAAAAGGUAGACAUAUUGUUUUACAGAUGUGUAGGACUGAUCUGA
Long non-coding RNA from Cyprinus carpio (common carp), 1464 nucleotides. Lineage: Eukaryota; Metazoa; Chordata; Actinopteri; Cypriniformes; Cyprinidae. The record is from Ensembl.